UUUCAUAUGCUGCGGCAGUAUUGUAGACAAUGAGGUUUAUCCAAGGUGCAAUUACUGCUACUUGAAAAGUAAGAUUAACAGUGGGAAUUUGUACGCUGUCUCACGAUUCACAUUUUACUAUUUUCAUAUCCAUUUAGUAUG
Molecule: small nuclear RNA, 141 nt
Filed under: Pavo cristatus (Indian peafowl)
Lineage: Eukaryota; Metazoa; Chordata; Aves; Galliformes; Phasianidae
Description: U4 spliceosomal RNA (ENSPSTG00000018989.1)
Rfam family: U4 spliceosomal RNA
About the family: U4 small nuclear RNA (U4 snRNA) is a component of the major U2-dependent spliceosome.
Source: Rfam by way of RNAcentral